This 490-nucleotide ribosomal RNA is filed under the name uncultured bacterium. Its description in RNAcentral is "bacterial SSU rRNA". It matches the Rfam family "Bacterial small subunit ribosomal RNA", at positions 29 to 507 of the family's 1533-position model. The record is from RNAcentral.
AUGAACGCUAGCUACAGGCUUAACACAUGCAAGUCGAACGGCAGCACAGGGAGCUUGCUCCCGGGUGGCGAGUGGCGCACGGGUGAGUAAUACAUCGGAACGUGUCCUGGUUGUGGGGGGAUAACUGCUCGAAAGGGUGGCUAAUACCGCAUGAGACCUGAGGGUGAAAGCGGGGGAUCGCAAGACCUCGCGCAAUUGGAGCGGCCGAUGCCCGAUUAGCUAGUUGGUGAGGUAAAGGCUCACCAAGGCGACGAUCGGUAGCUGGUCUGAGAGGACGACCAGCCACACUGGGACUGAGACACGGCCCAGACUCCUACGGGAGGCAGCAGUGGGGAAUCUUCCGCAAUGGGCGAAAGCCUGACGGAGCAACGCCGCGUGAGUGAUGACGGCCUUCGGGUUGUAAAGCUCUGUGAUCGGGGACGAACGGUCCGUAAGCUAAUACCUUAUGGAAGUGACGGUACCCGAAUAGCAAGCCACGGCUAACUACGUG